This 302-nucleotide ribosomal RNA is filed under the name uncultured bacterium. RNAcentral describes it as "bacterial SSU rRNA". It matches the Rfam family "Bacterial small subunit ribosomal RNA", at positions 28 to 334 of the family's 1533-position model. The record is from RNAcentral.
GAUGAACGCUGGCGGCAUGCCUUACACAUGCAAGUCGAACGGUAACAGGUCUUCGGAUGCUGACGAGUGGCGAACGGGUGAGUAAUACAUUGGAACGUGCCUAGUAGUGGGGGAUAACUACUCGAAAGAGUGGCUAAUACCGCAUGAGAUCUACGGAUGAAAGCAGGGGAUCGCAAGACCUUGUGCUACUAGAGCGGCUGAUGGCAGAUUAGGUAGUUGGUGGGAUAAAAGCUUACCAAGCCGACGAUCUGUAGCUGGUCUGAGAGGACGAUCAGCCACACUGGAACUGAGACACGGCCCAA